RNAcentral lists this ribosomal RNA (253 nucleotides) under uncultured bacterium. RNAcentral describes it as "partial 16S ribosomal RNA". It matches the Rfam family "Bacterial small subunit ribosomal RNA", at positions 524 to 776 of the family's 1533-position model. The record is from RNAcentral.
UACGUAGGGUGCAAGCGUUGUCCGGAAUUAUUGGGCGUAAAGAGCUCGUAGGCGGUUUGUCGCGUCUGCUGUGAAAACUCGGGGCUUAACCCCGGGCCUGCAGUGGGUACGGGCAGACUAGAGGUAUGCAGGGGAGAACGGAAUUCCUGGUGUAGCGGUGAAAUGCGCAGAUAUCAGGAGGAACACCGGUGGCGAAGGCGGUUCUCUGGGCAUUACCUGACGCUGAGGAGCGAAAGUGUGGGGAGCGAACAGG